CCCUUAGACGUUCUGGGCCGCACGCGCGCUACACUGACCAGUGCAACAAGCAUCCGUCCUUGGCCGACAGGCUCGGGCAAUCUUUGAACGCUGGUCGUGAUGGGGAUAGACUUUUGCAAUUUUUGGUCUUCAACGAGGAAUUCCUAGUAAACGCAAGUCAUCAACUUGCAUUGAUUACGUCCCUGCCCUUUGUACACACCGCCCGUCGCGCCUACCGAUUGAAUGGUCCGGUGAAGCCUCCGGAUUGGCGCGCACCUCGGUGCCGCCGAGAAGUUGGCUAAACCUUACCAUUUAGAGGAAGGUGAAGUCGUAACA
RNAcentral lists this ribosomal RNA (315 nucleotides) under uncultured eukaryote. RNAcentral's name for it is "partial 18S ribosomal RNA". It matches the Rfam family "Eukaryotic small subunit ribosomal RNA", at positions 1470 to 1796 of the family's 1831-position model. The record is from RNAcentral.